UAUAAAAUGUUUUCCAAUUCCAGCUUCAGAUAUUCACAACCAAGCUUACAGGCACGACAAUCGGCGUAUCUGUUUUCGGUCUGUUUGUCAUCACAAAAGAGGCACUGCUUACGAUUGCUGGCGCCUACGUGACCUACUUCUUCGUCCUUACUCAGUUCAGAUUCUGAUAAAUGUUGACCUCAGAGCAGUCGGGUGGAAUUUAAAACAUUCUUCUCAAUUUGCUGCCGUGUUCAGACUCAAUAAAAGGGACAUACUGUCACUUCUUCGGUGUCAACCAUGUUUUCCUGGCAUACCGGACAGUGGGUGACAGAACUCACUUCUGACAACCUCGAACCUUCUAUACCACAUACAGCCCUCCUUCACGUUCUUACUGUACAGCAGAUAAUAUGUGGUAGCGUUAAAAUGAAAAUGCA
Long non-coding RNA from Aplysia californica (California sea hare), 413 nucleotides. RefSeq lists it as uncharacterized. The record is from RefSeq and is a predicted model, not a curated record. Lineage: Eukaryota; Metazoa; Mollusca; Gastropoda; Aplysiida; Aplysiidae. The transcript has 3 exons.